UCGCUACUACCGAUUGAACAUUUUAGUGAGUUGCAAUGACUCGAGAUGUAUUGAGGCUUGCCUCUUUCGUUUUGGGGAACGGCUGCAAACUUGAUUGUUUAGAGGAAGUAA
This 111-nucleotide ribosomal RNA is filed under the name uncultured eukaryote. RNAcentral describes it as "partial small subunit ribosomal RNA". It matches the Rfam family "Eukaryotic small subunit ribosomal RNA", at positions 1676 to 1785 of the family's 1831-position model. The record is from RNAcentral.